GGGCAAGCAUAGAAAAUCCAUUGGAGUGGCUCUUUUCUAGUAGUUUGGCAUCAAAUUAUCAGGACCUUCAUUUGCUGCUCUUUUCAUACACUAAAGCAAUAUACAGAAAGCCUAGAUAGCCAAAAGGAAAAAUGCGUAGAAGAAGAUUACGAGAUUUAAGUAUUGUCCAGAAUACUCCAAAUUCGGAAGAAGCAAAUAGUGAACAGCAAGCAAGGAAAACUGAAAUUCGG
Gossypium arboreum is the source of this 230-nucleotide long non-coding RNA. RefSeq lists it as uncharacterized. The record is from RefSeq and is a predicted model, not a curated record. The transcript has 3 exons. NCBI's taxonomy places the organism in Eukaryota, Viridiplantae, Streptophyta, Magnoliopsida, Malvales, Malvaceae.